Molecule: non-coding RNA, 45 nt
Filed under: Mytilus galloprovincialis (Mediterranean mussel)
Lineage: Eukaryota; Metazoa; Mollusca; Bivalvia; Mytilida; Mytilidae
Rfam family: Histone 3' UTR stem-loop
About the family: The mRNAs of metazoan histone genes lack a poly-A tail.
Source: RNAcentral
UAAAAGGCUCUUUUAAGAGCCACUUGCACAUUUCAAAAAGAAUCA